Molecule: long non-coding RNA, 1347 nt
Organism: Labeo rohita (rohu)
Lineage: Eukaryota; Metazoa; Chordata; Actinopteri; Cypriniformes; Cyprinidae
Exons: 6
Source: RefSeq, a predicted model, not a curated record
GUGGCUUACAUUGGCGCGAAAACAGUGAAGAGAAGACGCGGAGAGUUUCUCGGUCAAAGUUUGAUUUUAAUGUCGGCUUUUGAAUUUGGAAAACAUGUUUUUCAUAUACUCUUCGUGGUAAACGAGUUAAAUGUCACAUAAAUUGUUUACGUAAGGUUAACUUAGUUGCUGUCUGGCUUGUUUGGCAAAUGAACGUCGGAGCCGUCGCACUCAACAUUGCUCUGCAUAUCGUCAGACAUCUUCCUCAUGGAGUUUUGUGCCAAAUGAGGACGUGAUUGCUGCUGUGCUGUGAAUCUCAAGCACACCUGCAUUAUUAUCAUGGUUGUUUGCUGUCUGAUGCGUCGGAAGCCACGUCACAACGUGCUAAGGUUACCAAAAUUAUUGGAUUGAUUACUUUUGCAUGUUAUCAUCCUGGUGUGCAUAAGGUGUGUUCAAACUGCUUGUCAUUAUGUAUAUGGUAAUUUUGUAAUGUCUUUUGUGUUUAAGGUGAUGGGCAGUUUAAGAUUGCUGUCGUUCAAGAAGUUAAUGACCACUGUUGAGGUUGUGAGCUACAAAUACCCAGAAGAGGCGGCACUUACAUUAGAAUUCAUACAGAAAGUUUUCCUGUGAAGAAAUCCUAAAUGAGGGUUGAUAUGAAGGAAACCAAGUGAUGGGCAGUUCAAGAUUGCUGUCGUUUGAGAAGUUAAUGAACAAAUCAUCUUUCCUGUUGCGGUUGUGAGCUACAAAAUACCCAGAGGAGGCGGCACUUACUCUGUUCAUACAGAAAAUUUUCCUGUGAAGAAAUCCUGAACGUGGUUUGAGAUGAAGGCAACCAAGUGGCUGUGCAUUCCUCCAAGACUCUUGCAUGAACAAUUUCAAAAAUCCAUGUAAUAUUUGAGUUUUUAAAUUGAAAAAAAAUGGCACUUGCAUUAAACAUGCAGUUAAAUGGUAAAUAAUACAUCCCCUAUAAUGAAUUGCAUCACUUCGAUGAUAUUUCUGUUAUAAUGAACUUCAAAAUUCUGUUGUCAAGCCACUGGAGUUACAUACUUUAUACCUUUCUGGACCUUGAAAAUGGUAGUUGCAUAGACAAUCAAUAGAGGGACAGAAAGUACCCAGAUUUAACUAAAAAUACUUAUAAUUUGUGUUCUAAAAAUAAAUGAAGGUCUUAUGGGUUUGGAAUGGUAUGAGUAAUUGACUAAAUUAACAUUUUUUUGUGUGCACUAUCCCUCUAAACAAUAUUGUUUUCUCUUAUAAGAAAAAAAAAGUUUUGAAUCUUGACUGUUUCUCAUUGUGACGUUUAAAUUUUGUGACCACUUUUUAGUACAACACCUGUAUUGUACAGAUGCUCAUGUUUUCUUUUCUUUUUUU